UCCGGCUUGUCACCGGCAGUUUCACUAAAGUGCCCAGCCCAACCUGAUGGCAACUAGUGAUGAGGGUUGCGCUCGUUGCGGGACUUAACCCAACAUCUCACGACACGAGCUGACGACAGCCAUGCAGCACCUGUGUGGAAGCCAGCCGAACUGAAGAACUCCAUCUCUGAAGCUCAAACUUCCCAUGUCAAAAGCUGGUAAGGUUCUGCGCGUUGCUUCGAAUUAAACCACAUACUCCACCGCUUGUGCGGGUCCCCGUCAAUUCCUUUGAGUUUUAAUCUUGCGACCGUACUCCCCAGGCGGAAUGCUUAAUGCGUUAGCGGCGACACUGAUGGAUUGCUCCACCAACAUCUAGCAUUCAUCGUUUACAGCGUGGACUAC
RNAcentral lists this unclassified non-coding RNA (381 nucleotides) under uncultured Alphaproteobacteria bacterium. RNAcentral describes it as "contains 16S-23S intergenic spacer region". Lineage: Bacteria; Pseudomonadati; Pseudomonadota; Alphaproteobacteria. The record is from RNAcentral.